Trichoplusia ni (cabbage looper) is the source of this 1464-nucleotide long non-coding RNA. RefSeq lists it as uncharacterized. The transcript is spliced from 3 exons. Lineage: Eukaryota; Metazoa; Arthropoda; Insecta; Lepidoptera; Noctuidae. The record is from RefSeq and is a predicted model, not a curated record.
GCGGCGGUGCGGCCGCCGCCCGGGUUCGGCGCGGCCGUGCGGCCCGUGCGGCCCUACGACCCGUUCCGCUCGCUGGCGUCCAUCUGGGCGCCGGGCGCGCUGGACUGGCGCAGCGAGCCCGCGCCCGACGCGGACGAGGCGCCGCCCGGCUAGGCGCGCGACGCCGCGCCGGCGCACUAGUCAGGCCCGCGCCGGCGUGCGCCACUCCACCGCUACCUAACGUGUUACAGUGUUCCCUACUUGAUUGUCUGCUUAAGACUGAAUUAAACUACACUAUCUCAAAUGAUGACAACUUCUUUUAUUGCAACCCCUGCUGAAUCAUAUUUUGUUCCUUUGUUGUACAGUUUCCAAAAAUAUUUUGAACAAAGCUCUUUGUACAGUGCAAGCACGCACAAAUUUGACAUCAUCGUGUCAGCACUUUACUAGCUACGCGCGCUCUAUACUUCAGUACACAAUUAUCACUCAAAUCGCGUGCACUCAUUAUCAUUCAAUUAAAUUCUAUUUUUACGUAUUAAUCAACCUAUCAACAAUAAAAGGUGUAAAGAUCCUACAUCUUCUUGGUCCUUCGAGCAUCCGUAUAUGCGGGACUCUUUCACGUUCGUAACAGUGUGAAUAAGCUGUCGGCACGGAAGUACAGCUCCUGUGACUACGACUUGUGGACAGAGUAACAUCCGUCUGCUGCAACAACCCUCUUUCCGUGAGGACGAAUCGCGGAGAGGACAAUACAGCAAACCGUUGAAAGCAACUCGGCGAUACUUUGAGUCGCGCGCUCGCCCAGUAUCGGGACAUACCCCCGUCGGUCAGUGCGCAGUCAGUCCCGAGGCAACGGCAGCGGCACCGGCGCCGGCGCUCAAUUCGUUGUGUAAUUGGGUCGCGAGUAAUAACAUAUUGCGAAUCUCGGUGAUCCUGUUUAUUUAGCGAGGCCAAGUCCGGCGCCGCGACCAUCACCGCAGACAUGUCCAUUUCGCGGCGGCGCGGCGGCGCGCUGCCAGAGUGCUGUCUGUGAGCCGGCGUCAGAUCUGGGCAGUGGUAUUUAGACGGACGGAAUGGACGCGGUGUACCCGGCGGCGGCGUCGGCGCUCGCCCGCGGCCGGCGCCUGCGCCGCGCCGAGCCGCGCCAGCGCCGCCGCACCACGCCCGUCACCUUCGCGGAGAUUAAGGUGCUCUUAUCACUAGCUAACUGUCGGUUUCUGAAAGCCUGGUCAGUACAGACGGCCUGGUACUGUUUUGGUCAACCAGUCGCACAAUGAACAUAUAGACAAUCGAUGUGUGUUUAUCAAUGUAAGGAGGUGGACGAAGAGAACUCCGAGUCGGAGGUGAGCGAGGAGCGGCGGCGGCGGCCGGACCUGCUGCACGAGACCCUCGGGCGCCAGUUCGCGGAGUCGCGGCGGCGGCGCGCCCGCCGUGAUCUGCUGCGGGAGCGCGAGGCGGAUUCGCCGCCGCCCGCAGCGCCCGCACCCCCGA